RNAcentral lists this long non-coding RNA (231 nucleotides) under Trifolium pratense (red clover). RNAcentral's name for it is "long non-coding RNA (TPRA_LNC005942)". Lineage: Eukaryota; Viridiplantae; Streptophyta; Magnoliopsida; Fabales; Fabaceae. The record is from RNAcentral.
UUGAUUCUUCUACCAAAAAAAAAUAAAAUAUAGUGUUGAUUCAAUUAUUAAAAAUUAAAAUAAAACACAAUUGUAAGCUAGGCCCAUAUAUUUGUCAAAAAGAAAAAAAGUUAAGCCCAUAUAUACCAAACAAUAACCCUAACCCAUUAAAUUACUCCUACUUGUUCACCAAAUUCAUGCGCCGCUUUUCUGCUUCUUUCUCAUCCCAUCAACAACAACCAUGCUCCAUCU